CAGCGAAGGGUGGUGGAUUAUCAUUAGUUCUUAUAGGUUUUGGGAUAGGCGGUGAAGUUAAGAGCAAUGUUUUGCGGGCACGGGUGUAUCUCACAAAGUACAUUCUCAACAGUGGGGAGAAUUACAAAGUACCUUCUUAAGGGUGGGGGAGAUUACAAAGCACAUUGAUCAAUUAGGGUGGGGCAGAAACAAAUCACAAUGGUGGAAUGUCAUCAGUUAAGGCUAUUUUUACUUCUUUUGUGGAUCUUCAGUUACUUCAGGCCAUCUGGAUGUAUACAUGCAAGUCACAGGGGAUGCGAUGGCUUGGCUUGGGCUCAGAGGCCUGACAUUCCUGCCUUCUUAUAUUUAUAAGAAAAAUAAAACAAAAUAGUGUUGAAGUGUUGGGGCGGCGAAAAUUUUUGGGAGGUGGUAUGGAGAGAGAGUGGGCGAUGUUUCUCAGGGCUGCUUCAAGCGGGAUUAGGGGCGGCGUGGGAACCUAGAGUGGGAGAGAUUAAGCUGAAGGGAGAUCUUGUGGUAAGGGGUGAUAUUGUGGGGAUGUUAGAAGAAGCAUUUGUCGUAUAGAAUGAUUGGUGAUGGCCUGGAUAUGGUUUUGUAUGAAUUGAGAAACUAAAUGGAAUAAGAGAAGGAGAAAAACAGGUAUAAAAGGUCUAAGAAUUGGGAGGACCUAGGACAUCUAAUUAGAGAGUGCCUAAGGAGGUUCCGCAUAGUCCUGCCAGCAAAGAUUAUUUAUUUACUUCAGGAGUUUAGAGCUGCAUUUUGGGGAUAGCACCAGGAGAUAUCAUCUGUGAUGGCUUGGAGAAACAGUGUAAACAAGAGCAGGGCAUGUAUGAGUAGUUGAGAACGGUGAAUAGGAGUAUGACUAGACAGAAGAUAAUAGGGAUGACAAGUUUUUUUGGGGCACAGUCUAACUAAGUUGGUCUGGUGUCUGGAAUGAGACUGGUGCCUAAUAAAAAGGAGCGUCUAUACAGGAGCUUAAAUGGGCUGUACCUUAUAGCAUUCUGAGGACAGGUCUGACUUCUGAGAAGGGAAAGUGGUAGAAGUAUUGUCCAGUCCUUUUUAAGUUGGUAGCUGAGCUUGGUGAGGUGUGUUGUUAAAAGACCUUUAGUCCAUUCUACUUUUCUUGAAGACGGAGGACCGUAAGGGAUAUAAAGGUUUCACUGAAUACUAAGAGCCUGAAAAACUGCUUGGCUGAUUUGACUAAUAAAGGCUGGUCUGUUUUCAGACUGUAUAGAGGUGGGAAGGCUAAACUGAGGAACUAUGUCUGACAGAAGGGAAGAAAUGACUGCGGUGGCCUUCUCAGACCCUGUAGGAAAGGCCUCUACUUAUCUAGCGAAAGUGUCUACUUAGACUAAGAGGCAUUUUAGUUAUCUGACUCGGGGCAUGUUGAGUAAAGCUAAUUUGCCAGUCCUGGGUGGGGGCAAAUCUUCAAGCUUGAUGUGUAGGGAAGGGAGGGGGCCUGAAUAAUCCCUGAGGAGUAGUAGAAUAGCAGAUGGAACACUGAGAAGUUACUUCCUUGAGGAUAGAUUUCCAUGAUGGAAAGGAAAUGAGAGGUUCUAAGAGACGGGCUAGUGGCUUGUUCUAUAGCAUAGCCUGCCUUUGCUGGUAGGUGGCGAUUAGGCCUGGUGGAACUGCCGUCAAUAAAUCAAGCGUGAUCAGGGUGAGGAACAGGAAAGAAGGAAAUAUGGGGAAAUGAGGUGAAUAUCAGGUGGAUCAGAGAGAUACAGUCAUGGGGGUCAGGUGUGGUAUCAGGAAUAAUGUGGGAGGUCAGAUUGAAGUCCGGGCCAGGAACAAUGGUAAUUGUGGGACUUAACAAAGAGUGAGUACAGCUGAAGGAGCCAGGGAGUGGAAAGUAUAUGCGUCAGGUAUGAGGAAGAAAGUAGAUUUUGGAAGUUAUGAGAAAUGUAGAGAGUGAGUUGAGCAUUGUUUGUGAUUUUUAGGGCCUCUAAAAGUAUUAAAGCAGCGACAGCCGCUGCAUGCAGACAUGAGGGCUAGGCUAAAACAGUAAGGUCAAGUUGUUUGGACAGAAAGGCUACAGGGUGUGGUCCUGGCUCUUGUGUAAGAAUUCUGACUGCACUAACCAUGCCUAGGAAGGAAAGGAGUUGUUGUUUUGUAAGGGAUUGAGGUUUGGGAGAUUAAUGGGACACGAUCAGCAGGGAGAGCACGUGUGUUUUUAUGAGAAUUAUGCCAAGAUAGGUAACAGAUGAGGAUGAAAUUUGGGCUUGACUGAAGUAAUGGGGGCUGUCUGUGAAGGUUUGCGGCAGUACAGCCUAGGUAAUUUGCUGAGCUUGAUGGGUGUCAGGGUCAGUCCAAGUGAAAGCGAAGUGACGCUGGAAUGAAGGGUGCAAAGGAAUAGUAAAGAAAGCAUAUUUGAGAUCUAGAACAGAAUAAUGGGUUGUAGAGGGAGGUAUUGAGGAUAGGAGAGUAUAUGGGUUUGGCACUACAGGGUGGAUAGGCAAAACAAUUUGGUUGAUAAGGCGCAGAUCCUGAACUAAUUUGUAAGGCUUGUCUGAUUUUAGGACAGGUAAAAUGGGGGAAUUGUAAGGAGAGUUUAUAGGCUUUAAAAGGCCAUUCUGUAGCAGGCGAGUGAUAACAGGCUUUGGAUUGGGAAGAAGGGCAGCAAUGAGAUGUAGCUGUAGUCCAGGAAUAGUGAGGGAAGCAGAUAAUUUAGUUAAAGUGUCUCAGUCUAAUAAGGGAACUGGGCAGGUGGGGAUAACUAAAAAAGGAGUGCUUAAAAGAGUAUUGUCUAAGUUGGCACCAGAGUUGGGGAAUUUUAAGAGGUUUAGAAGCCUGGCCAUCAAUACCCACAACAGUUAUGGAGGCAUGGAGGCAAGGGAAACAGGCCCUUGAAAAGAAGGUACUGUGGAGUGGGUGGCCUCCAUAUUGAUUAAGGGGACAGACUUACCUUCCACUGUGAUAGUUACCCGAAGCUCGGCAUCUGUGAUGGGCUACAGGGCUUCUGAGGCGAUCGGGCAGCAUCAGUCUUCAGCUGCUAAGCCGAGAAGGAGUCAGUCAGAGAGCCUUGGGCCGGAGUUCCAGGGGCUCUGGGAGUGGCUGCCAGUAUCUGGGUCUCAAAUGCAUCUUAGAAGAUACGUUAUUUGAUGUUUGCUUCUCUUACGAAGAACUAAGUCUGAUAGAACAAUGAAGAACUCCCACAGGAACAUACCGAGGAAGCCAAGAGAGUCCACAGACCCUUUGAAGAAAGUGGAUUGCUCCUGCAGGCUCCAGGAGACAACUGAAAAACUGUUAAGUCCAACCCUGCUGGACCUGGUAUACAUUUUGAGUAGCAAGACAAUAUGUACACUCAACACAGCUCUCUGCUGCUGCUACUAGAGAAUACCUUUCUCUGUGCUACCUGUGCCUGAGACCUGAAGAAGAUGGAAACCCAGAAUGAGCACUGACUGAACAAGAAAAAAGAAAGCUUGCUCUCUAGUCAAAGUACAAGGAAAGGAGAAGCACAGCAAGAAAGAAAACUUUUUGAAAAUAACCUCUCUAUUCCAGCCAAACAAAACGGAAAAUAAGUUGUUGCCCUACUCUCACCCAUCCUAUUUAAGAACUACUAGACCUAGAUAUCCCCCCACAAAAGAAUCUAACAAGUUGCCUCCAAAAUCUCAUUGUGGUGGUAUCAGAGAGGACUAAAUAGGGAGAAUGUGGUCUUCUACCCCACCAAGCAAUAAGGAAGUUCAGCUUUUCCUCUCAGCUUAAAUGGUGUCUUAGGAGGUCUAAUGCAAAGUCAGAACUUUUGCCAUCACUCAGCUGUACAGAACCUGCACCCACUACGUUGUCAUAGAGAUCACCUGAGAAACCAAUUGCCAACACUAGCCCUGCAGUAAAAAGGAAGGAGCUGCCCAUUCCCAUCACUCAAAUGUCAAUAGAGGUCAAGUGAGGAAUCCUGAACUUCUACCUCCAAAUAGCAGUAAUAAGGUGGUGCCCUCUAUCCCCUACCAGAGCAGAGAAAUAUUGUUAAAACAGAAGUUUUAAGUAAAAUCCAGAGUUUCAUAGCACAAUACGAAAAUGUCUGAGUUUUAAUAGACAAUCACUUAUCAUGCCAAGAACCAGGAAGAUGUCAAACUGAAUUAAAAAAAACACUCAGUUGUGGCAGUGGGCUGAGAUCGUGCUGGUGCACUCCAGCCUGGACAACAGAGUGAGACACCAUCUCAAAAAACAAACAAACAAACAAACAAAAAAAACCACUCGAUGGCAAGUUGACAGCAAUAUAAUGAAAAUAAUUGUGUAACAUCACUGAUAUUUUUUGGCUGUGUCCCCACCCAAAUCUCAUCUUGAAUUGUAACUCCCUCAAUUUCCAUGUGUUGUGGGAGGAACCCAGUGGGAGGUAAUUGAAUCAUGGGGACGGGUCUUUCCUGUGCUGUUCUCAUGAUAGUGAAUAAGUCUCAUAAGAUGUGACAGUUUUAAAAAUGGGAGUUUCCCUGCACAGGUUCUCCCUCUUGCCACUGCCAUGUAAGAAGUGGCUUUUGCCUUCCUCCAUGAUGGUGAGACCUCCCCAGCCACAUGGAACUGAAAGUCCAUUAAACUUCUUUCAUUUUUAAACUGCCCAGUC
RNAcentral lists this long non-coding RNA (4555 nucleotides) under Homo sapiens (human). RNAcentral's name for it is "HSALNT0186151". The record is from RNAcentral. Lineage: Eukaryota; Metazoa; Chordata; Mammalia; Primates; Hominidae.